GACGAACGCUGGCGGCGUGCCUAAUACAUGCAAGUCGAACGAAGCUUUUUUAACUGGUGCUUGCACCGACUUAAACAACUGAGUGGCGAACGGGUGAGUAACACGUGGGUAACCUGCCCCAAAGCGGGGGAUAACAUUUGGAAACAGAUGCUAAUACCGCAUAACCACAGAAACCACAUGGUUUCUGUGUCAAAGAUGGUUUCGGCUAUCACUUUGGGAUGGACCCGCGGCGUAUUAGCUAGUUGGUAAGGUAAUGGCUUACCAAGGCAAUGAUAAGUAGCCGAACUGAGAGGUUGAGCGGCCACACUUGGACUGAGACACGGCCCAUACUCCUACGGGAGGCAGCAGUAGGGAAUCUUCCACAAUGGGCGCAAGCCUGAUGGAGCAACACCGCGUGAGUGAAGAAGGGUUUCGGCUCGUAAAACUCUGUUGUUAAAGAAGAACGUAUCUAAGAGUAACUGCUUAGGUAGUGACGGUAUUUAACCAGAAAGCCACGGCUAACUACGUGCCAGCCGCCGCGGUAA
Molecule: ribosomal RNA, 524 nt
Filed under: uncultured bacterium
Lineage: Bacteria
Description: partial 16S ribosomal RNA
Rfam family: Bacterial small subunit ribosomal RNA
Source: RNAcentral